Molecule: ribosomal RNA, 1397 nt
Filed under: uncultured bacterium
Lineage: Bacteria
Description: bacterial SSU rRNA
Rfam family: Bacterial small subunit ribosomal RNA
Source: RNAcentral
AGAGUUUGAUCCUGGCUCAGGAUGAACGCUAGCUACAGGCUUAACACAUGCAAGUCGAGGGGCAGCAUCAUCAAAGCUUGCUUUGAUGGAUGGCGACCGGCGCACGGGUGAGUAACACGUAUCCAACCUGCCGACAACACUGGGAUAGCCUUUCGAAAGAAAGAUUAAUACCGGAUGGCAUAGUUUUCCCGCAUGGGAUAAUUAUUAAAGAAUUUCGGUUGUCGAUGGGGAUGCGUUCCAUUAGGCAGUUGGCGGGGUAACGGCCCACCAAACCUACGAUGGAUAGGGGUUCUGAGAGGAAGGUCCCCCACAUUGGAACUGAGACACGGUCCAAACUCCUACGGGAGGCAGCAGUGAGGAAUAUUGGUCAAUGGACGAGAGUCUGAACCAGCCAAGUAGCGUGAAGGAUGACUGCCCUAUGGGUUGUAAACUUCUUUUAUACGGGAAUAAAGUGAGCCACGUGUGGCUUUUUGUAUGUACCGUAUGAAUAAGGAUCGGCUAACUCCGUGCCAGCAGCCGCGGUAAUACGGAGGAUCCGAGCGUUAUCCGGAUUUAUUGGGUUUAAAGGGAGCGUAGGCGGGUUGUUAAGUCAGUUGUGAAAGUUUGCGGCUCAACCGUAAAAUUGCAGUUGAUACUGGCGACCUUGAGUGCAACAGAGGUAGGCGGAAUUCGUGGUGUAGCGGUGAAAUGCUUAGAUAUCACGAAGAACUCCGAUUGCGAAGGCAGCUUACUGGAUUGUAACUGACGCUGAUGCUCGAAAGUGUGGGUAUCAAACAGGAUUAGAUACCCUGGUAGUCCACACAGUAAACGAUGAAUACUCGCUGUUGGCGAUAUACAGUCAGCGGCCAAGCGAAAGCAUUAAGUAUUCCACCUGGGGAGUACGCCGGCAACGGUGAAACUCAAAGGAAUUGACGAGGGCCCGCACAAGCGGAGGAACAUGUGGUUUAAUUCGAUGAUACGCGAGGAACCUUACCCGGGCUUAAAUUGCAACUGACUGAACCGGAAACGGUUCUUUCUUCGGACAGUUGUGAAGGUGCUGCAUGGUUGUCGUCAGCUCGUGCCGUGAGGUGUCGGCUUAAGUGCCAUAACGAGCGCAACCCUUAUCGAUAGUUACUAGCAGGUCAUGCUGAGGACUCUAUUGAGACUGCCGUCGUAAGAUGUGAGGAAGGUGGGGAUGACGUCAAAUCAGCACGGCCCUUACGUCCGGGGCUACACACGUGUUACAAUGGGGGGUACAGAAGGCAGCUACACGGCGACGUGGUGCUAAUCCCGAAAGCCUCUCUCAGUUCGGAUUGGAGUCUGCAACCCGACUCCAUGAAGCUGGAUUCGCUAGUAAUCGCGCAUCAGCCACGGCGCGGUGAAUACGUUCCCGGGCCUUGCACACACCGCCCGUCAAG